AGCGAACGUUUGCGGCGGGCCUAACACAUGCAAGUCGAACGGGCUAGCAAUAGUCAGUGGCGCACGGGUGCGUAACACGUGGGUAAUCAACCCUUCAGCUCGGGAUAACGCCUUGAAAGGGGCGCUAAUACCGGAUACGACGCGAGGAGCUUCGGCUGCUUGCGGGAAAGAUUCGCAAGGAUCUCUGAAGGACGAGCCUGCGGCCCAUCAGCUAGUUGGUGAGGUAAGAGCUCACCAAGGCGAAGACGGGUAGCUGGUCUGAGAGGAUGAUCAGCCACACUGGAACUGAGACACGGUCCAGACUCCUACGGGAGGCAGCAGUGGGGAAUAUUGCGCAAUGGGCGAAAGCCUGACGCAGCCACGCCGCGUGAGCGAUGAAGGCCUUCGGUCGUAAGACUCUGUGGGAGGAGAAGAAUAAAGACCUAGUGAAGAAUAGGGACCGUUGACGGUAGUCUCCUUACGUC
RNAcentral lists this ribosomal RNA (464 nucleotides) under uncultured bacterium. Its description in RNAcentral is "bacterial SSU rRNA". It matches the Rfam family "Bacterial small subunit ribosomal RNA", at positions 29 to 490 of the family's 1533-position model. The record is from RNAcentral.